GGGGAUGCAUUGGAUUUGACCGGUGCAGUUAUUAUAUGGUUGCAAGUAGGUUCGCAGACACCUUAAAAGUCAGCAAAAAUAUAAAUGCCGAUAAAAAAGCAUUUGUGCCAGCAAUGGCAUACGUUAACGCUUAACAAAGCGGAAACUGGCAACAAAAAUUCUUCCUGGAGAGUUUUUGGCUUAGCCUAAUAAAACCAGGAUGAGGUCAUUUGAGUUUGGUUAACUCAAGUCGCCAAGGGAGAAAUUCCAAAGAAAAACCUGCAGAAAGCACAAAGGGUUUACCGGAUACCUGCUUUCCCAAGAUAAUGUUCGGUUAAACUUGUAGAAACUGUAUAAAAAAGGCUUCGGAACGUGGGUUCAACUCCCGCCAUCCCUACCA
RNAcentral lists this transfer-messenger RNA (379 nucleotides) under Patescibacteria group bacterium. It matches the Rfam family "transfer-messenger RNA". From Rfam's summary of the family: Bacterial tmRNA, also known as 10Sa RNA or SsrA, is named for its dual tRNA and mRNA-like properties. Its role is to liberate the mRNA from a stalled ribosome. To accomplish this part of the tmRNA is used as a reading frame that ends in a translation stop signal. The record is from RNAcentral.